Molecule: ribosomal RNA, 490 nt
Filed under: uncultured bacterium
Lineage: Bacteria
Description: partial 16S ribosomal RNA
Rfam family: Bacterial small subunit ribosomal RNA
Source: RNAcentral
AGUGAACGCUGGCGGUAGGCCUAACACAUGCAAGUCGAACGGCAGCACAGGAGAGCUUGUUCUCUAGGUGGCGAGUGGCGGACGGGUGAGGAAUACAUCGGAAUCUGCCCAGUCGUGGGGGAUAACGUAGGGAAACUUACGCUAAUACCGCAUACGACCUUCGGGUGAAAGAGGGGGAUCGCAAGACCUCUCGCGAUUGGAUGAGCCGAUGUCGGAUUAGCUAGUUAGCGGGGUAAUGGCCCACCAAGGCGACGAUCCGUAGCUGGUCUGAGAGGAUGAUCAGCCACACUGGAACUGAGACACGGUCCAGACUCCUACGGGAGGCAGCAGUGGGGAAUAUUGGACAAUGGGCGCAAGCCUGAUCCAGCCAUACCGCGUGGGUGAAGAAGGCCUUCGGGUUGUAAAGCCCUUUUGUUGGGAAAGAAAUCUUUCAGGCUAAUACCCUGGGAGGAUGACGGUACCCAAAGAAUAAGCACCGGCUAACUUCGUG